This 245-nucleotide long non-coding RNA is filed under the name Elaeis guineensis (African oil palm). Its description in RNAcentral is "long non-coding RNA (EGUI_LNC066444)". Lineage: Eukaryota; Viridiplantae; Streptophyta; Magnoliopsida; Arecales; Arecaceae. The record is from RNAcentral.
GGAGCGUGCCGAGGAAAGAUAGGUAUUUUUCCUAAGAUUAAUCGCAUCCAUUUAAUUAAAAAAAAAAAAGAGAUACAACUCUGCUAGUGCAAAGUGAUUCAAAACUUCCAAGUUCUUUAUUUUCUAAUUACCUUAAUUUUAAGAUAAUUUAUUUUCUAAAUCAAAAACAACGUUUCUUUCUUUUAUCUUGCAAUCUCAACUUAGCCCAAGGUCCCUGAGGAUACGAUCUCGACUCAUCCUACCUA